CAACGACUCCCAUUGUUAGGGCAGAGAUAUGCGCAUCUCGUAAUUAUAUAGAGAUCUCUGCUUUAUCCCCUUACAACAGUGUAUGAUCAUAUCAAUCGGUUUCACCGGCGCUACACGGAAUGCAAUAAUAUGUAUUAUAAGUAAAUGGACAGCUGUGCUUCAGGCUGGAGACCCAGUCAAUGAGGAGAUGAGGAUGCAUUUGGUGUGAAGGACAUUCCACUUGGGUCGGCUUUGGUAGAUGUCAAGUUUGCAGAUUUAGAGUCAACUUUCAUGAAGGUAGAGAGACCGGAUGCAGGACCACGUGGAUGGGGAAACACCAGAUACAGUGAUAAUGCCAUCCAGAAUCUCCCCAUUGAGAAUAAUCAGCACUUGGAAGAAGAGGAGAAUCAUGCCCCACUAACCCUCCUAGAGGAGCAGCUGGCAGAAGAUCCAGAGAAGCUCAGUAAGCUGCACCCGUCUGGGAACCGUGGAGAGCAGGAGAUCAGUGUUCUGGAGUUUGUAAUAAAGAUGGAGAAGGACGAAAAACAUUCUGGAUUCGGUCAGGAUGGAUGUCAAUAGAGGAACACAGAAAAGCAGGAGAACCCCUUGAGAUCUGAGUUUGUAAUGGAUGAAAGAGACCGUCAAAUGUGGUCAUCUAUAGUUCAAGGGAAUGACUCUGACAUAGUCAUAGACACUGACUUUCCUAAUUUCUCUUGUUGCAGUAUUCAACAGUUUUUCAGAUUGCACAGAUGCUCAGGUACUAUCCAAAUAGCACCCUAUAUUCCCUAUUUAGUGCACUACUUUUGACCAGAGUCCUGACCUUUUGUUUUGGAUCUGAAACUAAAUAAUUGUGUUCAUUGCUACACACCAGAGGGCAGUGUAACACUUCAUUCACAGUCACUCCAGUGUAGUUUUGCUGAGGGAACAAGAACUAACCCAAAUUUAAAGUUGUCCUUUACUGUUGGGUCCUUUCAAAUAAAAAAAUACAACUGUAAUGGAGGGGUUGUCAACUCUGGAGGGGUUGUCAUAUGCCAGAAAUAGAGAAAGCUAUGAUGCAUUUCCAAGAAGUAAGAGCUUUUCAAUACAACACAACUUUAUUUGCUAUUAGUUACAGCAAACAACGGAAAGGUGUCUUCCCCUUGCACCCUUGCACCAAGCCGUAUUUCACUGGUGUAGACAGGAGGCAGUCGCAGGUUUACAACUACUGAAUUUAUUUAAGCACCAUAGAACAAAGCGGGAAAAAACCCAAACACCGAUGUGCUCAAAAUAUAUCUUCACAAUCAAAAGGAACAGGGCGAACCCAAAGUGCAAAAUAUAAAGUACUCAGAAAAUAGUAGGAGAGAUUCCUUUCAGGAAAACAAGUAACAUUUACAAUGACUGACAAAGACAAAUGACAGAGGGAGUAUAUAUACAGUGAUAGAGUGCGGAU
Molecule: long non-coding RNA, 1408 nt
Organism: Oncorhynchus keta (chum salmon)
Lineage: Eukaryota; Metazoa; Chordata; Actinopteri; Salmoniformes; Salmonidae
Exons: 4
Source: RefSeq, a predicted model, not a curated record